CUCGUCGUCGAGCAGCCCGGCAACCCCAUCCUCUACUCCACCGAUGCGUGCCCUGGCCGAGAUCGGUGGUGUCCAGGCCCCCAUCUCAACUGCGAUUCCUGGAUCCGCAUGAAAACCUCCUCUCCGCUCCAUCUCUCACAUGAUGGGCCCCCAGGGAGACCUCGCCGGUGAGCCAUCCUGAACGUGUCUGCCAACUCCUAUGUGUUUGGUGCGUCCGUCAGAGAACAAGCAGAUCCAGGUCCUUUUCCCCUCUUUGAAGCCCUCCCACUUAUAAUAGAAGGUAUCGGCAGUGCAUCAAUCCCCUCCCCUUCGAAUAUUGUUUUUCCUUGGUUACUAUUGUUCUCCGUGUGAUAAUCUUUAAUUUCAAAAUUGUAAUAGGUGUCUAGUGUUGUGUGUGGAAUAUUCAUAGUUACACAUGUCCAAUGUGCGCCAAAUAUUGACUAUUGUUGGCGUGAAAUUGUUCUAUCCAAGUACUACAUCAUUAAAUCAUCACGUGUUUUUGGUUUUGUGAUCAUCCAAACUUCCAUAGCUAUGUUGACGACUGUCGUUUUUAUUUUUUAUUUUCUAGUGUCGAAGUUCAAUGCUUCUAAUGAAGUUGAGAAUUGUUAAGAUAUUAACCUUUACAUGGUUCCUACGUAUGUGUAGCUUCCAAAGUAUAUUAUAAAUGUAUAUAUAUUUUUCUCCUGAAAAUGCUAACAAUUAUUGUUAAAUUUUCAGUAUUGUUGACAAAAAGAUAUAUCUGCAUGUUGGUGUCUACCUUGUUUAAUUUUCAUAUAAAUUUUAUCUUCUAGUUAAAUUGGCUACUAUUGACAUACAACAUGCAUCCCACGAACAAUUCCUCAACUGGAACACUCUUUUCAUGCUUCAUAUUCAUUUAUUGUAACUACAAAAUUCCAUGCUUGCAGAUAAUAACGCUUAUUCUGUUACUUAAACUAUCUUUUCAUUCUUCUUUGUCAUUGAGCUUUAUUUCUUUGGGCUAGAUUUCCAUUUCCAAUGCUCCAUGCUUCAACUACAGAUGAAUCAUAUGUAUACAAUAUAUUUUCAUGGUUCCUGCAAAUUGUGCUUCCGAAUCACACCUCAAUUGCUUCAACCAAUAUUAGUUUGUGCUACGACGACGGAAACAUUGCUUCUUAUAAUAAAAUUAUUGUUCAUAUAUUUUCCUUCUUGCAACAAAUUUUUUUUGAACCACUACCAACCUAUGCUUCAUUGAAUCUCAUUUAUGUUUCCAUGAAAAACAUACAAGAUGCUCCUAAAAUUUACUUAUAUAUGUUUCCAUGGUAGUGAAUCCCGGCUUCAAGCAUUGCCAUAUGUGUGCUUUUGUUGCUGUCUACACAUAUUCGUUCGAGCAAGUGAGUGCUUGAACCAACACCAGUUAUUCUUCUUUCAGAUAUUAUUGUGCAUGCUUCUUGCGGCAAUAUGUUUGUUUCCAACCGCUCUUGAUGUUAGCUUAUUGUUUGUUUCCCAUAUUUUUCCUACCCGAUUAAGGCGCAUCUUUAUUUUCAACAGAACGCUACUUAUGUUGAGUGCGCUGGACCAGAGAUCACUUCUUAUCGGAGGCUACCUUGUUGAAGAACUCGUGACGUGUGAGGAGCUCUUGUGUGAUCAGUAAUUGAAAAUGUACAUCGGAGCUGCCUACGUAUAAGUGAAAUUAGUGGUGUUGUAGAAAGAAUUGUAUAUUGUUUGUAUCAGAUGAAUUUGAGGUGAUGUAUAUUCUUGUUUUGUGUUUCGGGCAAUUCCUUUGACCAAACAAAUGUUUCUAUCAAAUGUGAAUAUUUUCUUUGGUACAAUAAAUAAUUUU
RNAcentral lists this long non-coding RNA (1798 nucleotides) under Hordeum vulgare. RNAcentral's name for it is "long non-coding RNA (HVUL_LNC006411)". Lineage: Eukaryota; Viridiplantae; Streptophyta; Magnoliopsida; Poales; Poaceae. The record is from RNAcentral.